CCUACGGGAGGCAGCAGUGGGGGAUAUUGCACAAUGGGGGGAACCCUGAUGCAGCGACGCCGCGUGGGUGAAGAAGCGCCUCGGCGCGUAAAGCCCUGUCAGCAGGGAAGAAAAUGACGGUACCUGAAGAAGAAGCCCCGGCUAACUACGUGCCAGCAGCCGCGGUAAUACGUAGGGGGCAAGCGUGAUCCGGAUUUACUGGGUGUAAAGGGGGCGCAGACGGCGAUGCAAGCCUGGAGUGAAAGCCCGGGGCUCAACCCCGGGACUGCUCUUGGAACUGCGUGGCUGGAGUGCAGGAGAGGCAGGCGGAAUUCCUGGAGUAGCGGUGAAAUGCGUAGAUAUCAGGAGGAACACCGGUGGCGAAGGCGGCCUGCUGGACUGCAACUGACGUUGAGGCCCGAGAGCGUGGGGAGCAAACAGGAUUAGAUACCCUAGUAGUC
This 440-nucleotide ribosomal RNA is filed under the name uncultured bacterium. RNAcentral describes it as "partial 16S ribosomal RNA". It matches the Rfam family "Bacterial small subunit ribosomal RNA", at positions 338 to 795 of the family's 1533-position model. The record is from RNAcentral.